ACUCCUACGGGAGGCAGCAGUGGGGAAUAUUGCACAAUGGGCGCAAGCCUGAUGCAGCCAUGCCGCGUGUAUGAAGAAGGCCUUCGGGUUGUAAAGUACUUUCAGCAGUGAGGAAGGCAGGUACGUUAAUAGCGUGCUUGUUUGGACGUUAGCUGCAGAAGAAGCACCGGCUAACUCCGUGCCAGCAGCCGCGGUAAUACGGAGGGUGCGACGCGUUAAUCGGAAUUACUGGGCGUAAAGCGCAUGCAGGUGGUUUGUUAAGUCAGAUGUGAAAGCCCGGGGCUCAACCUCGGAAUUGCAUUUGAAACUGGGCAGACUAGAGUACUGGUAGAGGGGGGUAGAAUUUCAGGUGUAGCGGUGAAAUGCGUAGAGAUCUGAAGGAAUACCGGUGGCGAAGGCGGCCCCCUGGACAGAUACUGACACUCAGAUGCGAAAGCGUGGGAGCAAACAGGAUUAGAUA
RNAcentral lists this ribosomal RNA (460 nucleotides) under uncultured bacterium. Its description in RNAcentral is "bacterial SSU rRNA". It matches the Rfam family "Bacterial small subunit ribosomal RNA", at positions 335 to 784 of the family's 1533-position model. The record is from RNAcentral.